Molecule: ribosomal RNA, 478 nt
Filed under: uncultured Planctomycetales bacterium
Lineage: Bacteria; Pseudomonadati; Planctomycetota; Planctomycetia; Planctomycetales
Description: bacterial SSU rRNA
Rfam family: Bacterial small subunit ribosomal RNA
Source: RNAcentral
UUCGCAAUGCCCGAAAGGGUGACGAAGCGACGCCGCGUGCGGGAAGAAGGCCUUCGGGUUGUAAACCGCUGUCGGGAGUUAAGAAAUGUAAGGAUGUUAAUAGCAUCUUUGCUUGACUAAGGCUCCGGAGGAAGCCACGGCUAACUCUGUGCCAGCAGCCGCGGUAAUACAGAGGCGGCAAGCGUUGUUCGGAAUUAUUGGGCGUAAAGAGCACGUAGGCGGCUAUGUAAGUCGGUUGUGAAAGCCUUCCGCUCAACGGGAGAACAGCAUCCGAUACUGCAUGGCUUGAGUGCGGGAGGGGAGAGUGGAACUUCUGGUGGAGCGGUGAAAUGCGUAGAUAUCAGAAGGAACGCCGGCGGCGAAAGCGACUCUCUGGCCCGUAACUGACGCUGAGUGUGCGAAAGCUAGGGGAGCAAACGGGAUUAGAUACCCCGGUAGUCCUAGCCGUAAACGAUGGGCACUAAGUAGAGGGGUUUUA